RNAcentral lists this ribosomal RNA (225 nucleotides) under uncultured bacterium. Its description in RNAcentral is "partial 16S ribosomal RNA". It matches the Rfam family "Bacterial small subunit ribosomal RNA", at positions 28 to 258 of the family's 1533-position model. The record is from RNAcentral.
GACGAACGCUGGCGGCGUGCUUAACACAUGCAAGUCGAACGGUGAAGCCUUCGGGUGGAUCAGUGGCGAACGGGUGAGUAACACGUGAGCAAUCUGCCCUUGACUCUGGGAUAACUUCGGGAAACCGGAGCUAAUACCGGAUAUGACAUCUGGCCGCAUGGUCUGGGUGUGGAAAGAUUUAUCGGUCAAGGAUGAGCUCGCGGCCUAUCAGCUUGUUGGUGGGAA